RNAcentral lists this ribosomal RNA (539 nucleotides) under uncultured bacterium. RNAcentral's name for it is "bacterial SSU rRNA". It matches the Rfam family "Bacterial small subunit ribosomal RNA", at positions 395 to 934 of the family's 1533-position model. The record is from RNAcentral.
UGCCGCGUGCAGGAUGACUGCCCUAUGGGUUGUAAACUGCUUUUAUACGGGAAAAAACCCCCCUACGUGUAGGGGGCUGAUGGUACCGUAAGAAUAAGGAUCGGCUAACUCCGUGCCAGCAGCCGCGGUAAUACGGAGGAUCCAAGCGUUAUCCGGAUUUAUUGGGUUUAAAGGGUGCGUAGGCGGAAUAUUAAGUCAGUGGUGAAAGCCCGGAGCUCAACUCCGGAACUGCCAUUGAUACUGAUGUUCUUGAGUAUAGUUGAGGUAGGCGGAAUGUGUCAUGUAGCGGUGAAAUGCUUAGAGAUGACACAGAACACCGAUUGCGAAGGCAGCUUGCUAAACUAUUACUGACGCUGAGGCACGAAAGCGUGGGGAGCAAACAGGAUUAGAUACCCUGGUAGUCCACGCCCUAAACGAUGAUUACUCGAUGUGUGCGAUACACUGUACGCGUCUAAGCGAAAGCAUUAAGUAAUCCACCUGGGGAGUACGACCGCAAGGUUGAAACUCAAAGGAAUUGACGGGGGCCCGCACAAGCGGAG